RNAcentral lists this ribosomal RNA (468 nucleotides) under uncultured Acaulospora. Its description in RNAcentral is "SSU rRNA". It matches the Rfam family "Eukaryotic small subunit ribosomal RNA", at positions 569 to 1038 of the family's 1831-position model. Lineage: Eukaryota; Fungi; Glomeromycota; Glomeromycetes; Diversisporales; Acaulosporaceae. The record is from RNAcentral.
AGCAGCCGCGGUAAUUCCAGCUCCAAUAGCGUAUAUUAAAGUUGUUGCAGUUAAAAAAGCUCGUAGUUGAAUUUCGGGGUUCAUACGUUGGUCGGGCUUUUGGGUCUGUACUGGCGUAAUGGAUUCCUACCUUCUGAAUAACCGGCAUGCCAUUAAUUUGGUGCGCCGGGGAAGCAGGACUGUUACCUUGAAAAAAUUAGAGUGCUUAAAGCAGGCUAUCGCCUGAAUACAUUAGCAUGGAAUAAUGAAAUAGGACGGCAUGGUUCUAUUUUGUUGGUUUCUAGGAUCACCGUAAUGAUUAAUAGGGAUAGUUGGGGGCAUUAGUAUUCAAUUGUCAGAGGUGAAAUUCUUGGAUUUAUUGAAGACUAACUUCUGCGAAAGCAUUUGCCAAGGAUGUUUUCAUUAAUCAAGAACGAAAGUUAGGGGAUCGAAGACGAUCAGAUACCGUCGUAGUCUUAACCAUAAACU